RNAcentral lists this ribosomal RNA (465 nucleotides) under uncultured bacterium. Its description in RNAcentral is "bacterial SSU rRNA". It matches the Rfam family "Bacterial small subunit ribosomal RNA", at positions 338 to 795 of the family's 1533-position model. The record is from RNAcentral.
CCUACGGGAUGCAGCAGUGGGGAAUAUUGGACAAUGGGCGAAAGCCUGAUCCAGCAAUGCCGCGUGUGUGAAGAAGGCCUUCGGGUUGUAAAGCACUUUCAGCAGGGAGGAAGGCAAUGCGGUUAAUAACCGUGUUGAUUGACGUUACCCGCAGAAGAAGCACCGGCUAACUCCGUGCCAGCAGCCGCGGUAAUACGGAGGGUGCAAGCGUUAAUCGGAAUUACUGGGCGUAAAGCGCACGCAGGCGGUUUGUUAAGUCAGAUGUGAAAUCCCCGGGCUCAACCUGGGAACUGCAUCUGAUACUGGCAAGCUUGAGUCUCGUAGAGGGGGGUAGAAUUCCAGGUGUAGCGGUGAAAUGCGUAGAGAUCUGGAGGAAUACCGGUGGCGAAGGCGGCCCCCUGGACGAAGACUGACGCUCAGGUGCGAAAGCGUGGGGAGCAAACAGGAUUAGAUACCCCUGUAGUC